Molecule: long non-coding RNA, 1594 nt
Organism: Oncorhynchus tshawytscha (Chinook salmon)
Lineage: Eukaryota; Metazoa; Chordata; Actinopteri; Salmoniformes; Salmonidae
Source: Ensembl
UGCUGAUCAACUGGCAGGUGUUUUCACUGAUAUUUUCAACCUCUCACUGAUCCAGUCUGUAAUACCAACAUGUUUCAAGCAGACUACCAUAGUCCCUGUGCCCAAGAACACCAAUUUAACCUGCCUAAAUGCACUCAUGUCUGUAGCCAUGAAGUGCUUUGAAAGGCUGGUAAUGGCUCACAUCAACACCAUCAUCCCAAACACACUAGACCCACUCCAAUUUCCAUACCGCCCCAACAGAUCCACAGAUGACAAUCUUUAUUGCACUCCACACUGCCCUUUCCCACCUGGACAAAAGGAACACCUACAUGAGAAUGCUAUUCAUUGAUUACAGCUCAGCAUUCAACACCAUAGUACCCUCAAAGCUCAUCACUAAGCUAAGGACCCUGGGACUAAACACCUCCCUCUGCAACAGGAUCCUGGACUUACUGAUGGGCCGCCCCCAGGUGGUAAGGGUAGGUAACAACGCAUCUGCCACACUGACCUUCAACACGGGGUCCUUCAGGGGUGCGUGUUUAGUCCCCUCCAAACUCCCUGUACAUCCACAACUGUGUGGCCGCACACCAACUCCAACACCAUCAUUAAGUUUGCUGACGACGCGGCGGUUGUCGGCCUGACCACGCAGCGGUUGUCGGCCUGAUCACGCAGCGGUUGUAGGCCUGAUCACGUGGCGGUUGUAGGCCUGAUCACGCGGCGGUUGUCGGCCUGAUCACGCAGCGGUUGUAGGCCUGAUCACAGAUGACAAUGAGUCUAUAGGGAGGAGGUCAGACACCUGGCAGUGUCAGCAAGACAAAGGACGGGGCUGUAGUGGAGUUGAGAGCUUCAAGUCCACAUCAAAAAGGAUCUAUCACGGUUCACACACACCAACACAGUCAUGAAGAGGUCACAACAACACCUCUUCCUCCUCAGGAGCCUGAAAAAAUUUAGCGUGGGCCCUCAGAUCCUCAAAAAGUUAUACUGCUGCACCAUUGAGAGCAUCUUGACUGGCUACAUCACUGGGGCUGAGUUCCCUGCCAUCCAGGUUCUCUGUACCAGGCGGUGUCAGAGGAAGGCACUAAAAGUUAUCAACGACUCCAGCCCCCUAAAUCAUAAACGAUUCUCUCUGCUACAGCACAGAAAGCACUACCGAUGCACCAAGUCUGGAACCAACAGGACCCUGCACAGCUUCUACCCCCAAGCCAUAAGACUGUUAAAUAGUUGGUUGAAUAGUUAACCAAAUAACUACCUGGACUAUCAAUACCUCAAUUACCUCGUACCCCUGCACAUCAAGGAGAGAGAAGGGAAGAGGAGGAGAGAGAAGGGAAGAGGAGGAGAGAGAAGGGAAGAGGAGGAGAGAGAAGGGAAGAGGAGGAGAGAGAAGGGAAGAGGAGGAGAGAGAAGGGAAGAGGAGGAGAGAGAAGGGAAGAGAGGAGAGAGAAGGGAAGAGGAGGAGAGAGAAGGGAAGAGAGGAACAACACAUAAAUCACAUGUAAUAAUGCCUUUCUCUGACAGACAGGCCCUGCAUAAUGACAGAGGCCGGGUGAUGAAUAUAGAGAAGACAGACAGACAGAGAGACAUAUAUUAUAGUUAGGGUUGUAGUAAAAAACAACUCCUC